Gorilla gorilla gorilla (western lowland gorilla) is the source of this 105-nucleotide unclassified non-coding RNA. It matches the Rfam family "Y RNA". From Rfam's summary of the family: Y RNAs are components of the Ro ribonucleoprotein particle (Ro RNP), in association with Ro60 and La proteins. The Y RNAs and Ro60 and La proteins are well conserved, but the function of the Ro RNP is not known. Lineage: Eukaryota; Metazoa; Chordata; Mammalia; Primates; Hominidae. The record is from Ensembl.
GGCUGGUCUGAAUGCAGUGGAGUGUAUAAGUCAUUGAUAACAACUAGUUAUAGAUUUCUUUGUUUCUCCUCCACUCCCGCUUUUUUUUUUUUUGACUAGCCAAAA